This is a non-coding RNA of Stegodyphus mimosarum, 73 nucleotides long. Lineage: Eukaryota; Metazoa; Arthropoda; Arachnida; Araneae; Eresidae. The record is from Rfam.
GCCUUCGUGGCGUAGUGGUCAGCACGCUCAACGGAUAUUCGAGAGGUUCAUGGUUCGAGUCCCGGCGAGGGCA